UGGGGAAUCUUGGACAAUGGGGGCAACCCUGAUCCAGCCAUGCCGCGUGAGUGAUGAAGGCCUUAGGGUUGUAAAGCUCUUUCACCGGUGAAGAUAAUGACGGUAGCCGGAGAAGAAGCCCCGGCUAACUCCGUGCCAGCAGCCGCGGUAAUACGGAGGGGGCUAGCGUUGUUCGGAAUUACUGGGCGUAAAGCGCGCGUAGGCGGACUGAUCAGUCAGGGGUGAAAUCCCGGGGCUCAACCCCGGAACUGCCUUUGAUACUGUCAGUCUUGAGUCCGGAAGAGGCGAGUGGAAUACCGAGUGUAGAGGUGAAAUUCGUAGAUAUUUGGAGGAACACCAGUGGCGAAGGCGGCUCACUGGCUCGAUACUGACGCUGAGGUGCGAAAGUGUGGGGAGCAAACAGGAUUAGAUACCCUGGUAGUCCACACCGUAAACGAUGAAUGCCAGUCGUCGGGUAGCAUGCUAUUCGGUGACACACCUAACGGAUUAAGCAUUCCGCCUGGGAGUACGGUCGCAAGAUUAAAAGCUCAAAUGAAUUG
This 539-nucleotide ribosomal RNA is filed under the name uncultured bacterium. RNAcentral describes it as "bacterial SSU rRNA". It matches the Rfam family "Bacterial small subunit ribosomal RNA", at positions 355 to 912 of the family's 1533-position model. The record is from RNAcentral.